UACGUAGGGUGCGAGCGUUAAUCGGAAUUACUGGGCGUAAAGCGUGCGCAGGUGGUUCGCUAAGACAGAUGUGAAAGCCCCGGGCUCAACCUGGGAACUGCGUUUGUGACUGGCGGGCUAGAGUGCGGAAGAGGGAGGUGGAAUUCCACGUGUAGCAGUGAAAUGCGUAGAGAUGUGGAGGAACACCGAUGGCGAAGGCAGCCUCCUGGUCUAGCACUGACGCUCAUGCACGAAAGCGUGGGGAGCGAACAGG
RNAcentral lists this ribosomal RNA (253 nucleotides) under uncultured bacterium. RNAcentral describes it as "partial 16S ribosomal RNA". It matches the Rfam family "Bacterial small subunit ribosomal RNA", at positions 524 to 776 of the family's 1533-position model. The record is from RNAcentral.